Molecule: long non-coding RNA, 7635 nt
Filed under: Prunus persica (peach)
Lineage: Eukaryota; Viridiplantae; Streptophyta; Magnoliopsida; Rosales; Rosaceae
Description: long non-coding RNA (PPER_LNC002749)
Source: RNAcentral
GUAUUAACAGCUUCCCAGGCCAAGUUCUUCGGGAUUGGAAUAUCCAUGUCCCAAGCCUUCUGGGCAGCAGACCUUAGAAGCCUAAUAGUGGUUACAUUGGCAUCCCAGAAGGACAAACUCUUGUAAGGCAAAUUGUGCUUCUUGCAUAGGUCCUUCACAGUAGGAGAAAUCUUCCUAAGCUGGGAACGGGGUAGUCGGGGGAACAAAUGGUGCUCAAGCUGAAACUGUAGCCCACCAUAGAACCAGUCCAUCCAACUUGAGCAAGAAAUAUCCACAGUACCAGCUGUCUGCUUCUCAAACCAAUCAUUCCCAGUUGGUGGUCCAAGAUAAGUAUCUCCGGUGAAAUGGUUCAAAGUGAACUGAAUGUGCUGAAGUGCUGUCACUGCAAAGCUCGCAAGCACAAACAUCACCCUCUCGCUCCAAUUGGGCAGACAUGAAACAAGGAGAGGAAACCAAGUCCAGAAAACAAGGAUUCCCAAUAUGUUCAAACCUCUAUCUGGGAUGCUUCUCUUCGAGAACAAUAACAAGAAGGUCUGUAUAAACAAGUUAACCCUUCCAACAAUCAUGAUCGGAUAAUAUGUAAAAUGCUGGUGGCUGACUAAAAAUCUAGCCACAGGAUCAAAGGUUAGCUCUCUUCCAUAAAAGACCGAUGUUAUUGAAUGAAAGAAUUUUGUGGACACUGCAAAGACUGGCAUGUGUUGAAGAUCAGGAUCAUAAUCAAGGCUGUUGCAGGCAAUAUGGUGGGCAUUGUGAGUCCAUUUCCACCAAGCAAUACUGAUCCCAGUAAGGCAAUUUCCAGCCACAAACUGAGCCAUUUUGUUGUAGGUCCGGCUGGACAUGACCUGGUAAUGGCCAGAGUCAUGACCCAUAUAGGCAGCCUGAACCCAGAGGACCCCCAACAACAAACCACAACCCAAAUGGACCAACACACUCUCAGACUUCAAUACACCAUAGACAACAAGGGAAAGCAUUACCACAAGACUUAUCACAGAGUAAAGAGCCCCAUGCCCUUUGUUUUCAAACAAACCCAAUUGGUUAAACUCUGAAGCAAGUUUCCUAUAGUCCUUGGACACCUCUGAGAUCUGGAAAUCUUUUAGAUAAUACCCAGUAAAGAAUUUUCCCAGGUACUGCCAUGCGGAGGCAGGAUGGUAUGCUAUGAAUCCAUCAGUGACAUCUUGGCCAGCCAUAUUGAAGAGAACGGCUUCCCCACCUGGGUGAUCUUUGGCCCAAUCAGAGACAUUGUAAACCUUACCCUUGAUGGAGAUCCACAAGUCCCCUGGUUGCUUGUGCAGCUUCAGCUGCUCAACAGUAAUGUACUUCCUCUCACCCUCCAUUGUGGCUCAACCCUAUAAAAUGGCAAUUCAACAAUAAGAUUGCUAACAAAAAGAUCCACAGAUAGAUCGGCCAACAUAAACAAAUCAAACCAAGACAACCCUUUUGGAUCUCGGUUUGAUAUGCACUCGUAAACAAACAAUUAGAGCAAAAUAGAGCAAAACUUUGCAGUUUAAGGCCAAAUAAAGAAGAAAAUACAGACAAAUGAAGGUGAAAGAUUGAACCUUUCUUCUAGAUUCAAACGCAAACAAAUAAGUUAGAACAAAAUACUGCAGUUACAAGGCAAAUGAAGAAGAAAUAUAGACAAAAAAUAAGGUGAAAGAUUGAACCUUUCUUCAAUAGUCAGUCAACUCACACGCUCCCAGCAAAAUAUCUUCCUGACUUCCAAUCAAUAAGACUAAACUUUGAACGGGUUUAGACCAUUUUCCAAAUUUCCUCAACUGCCCCAGCUUUGGUUUUCAGACUUUUCAAAACCGCCCCCAGGAUAUUUUUGAGCUUCUGCUUCUGCGUUAGAGCGGUAAUGUGUGUAUAUCCAAAGAAACCCACCGAGAGAGAGAGCAACGGAUUAGAAUCGGCCUCGUAUACAACGACGCGCUGCUGUUAUCAUUUAGUCUGCAAGUUAUAUUUUCGCCACAGCUGGUAUCGUUGACCGGUCAACGGAGGUAAAAUAUCGGGGCAAGUUGAGCGCGUUAUACGACCGUCGGGCCGGCUCAGGAGCUGAAGAGGUAUGUGCGACUUCUUGAGUUGAGAAUAAUAUGUGAAGUGGAAGUAAUAUGCUUUUGCAUUUCUCGACCAUGCUAAGUUACAUCAAAGAAUUGUACAUUAAGACUUGAGGACUUGUGCAAGAGGCCCCUAAGAUGAAAAUGACAUGGAUGUGAUGACAGAUGUGUUAGGUUUUAAUUUUAAUUUUUCAAAAAAAACUUAAUGGCGAAGCUUCUUAAUUCUAAAAAAUUGAUUUAAAAUUUCGUAAAUUUAGUAGUAAGUAGUAUUUAAUUCUAUGUCAAAUACUAAGAUAACGUGCUUGACUCUAGUGGGUCGAGCCUGGUCCCAUGAUUAGGCUCAUAUUCGACUUGCAUGACUUGCAUGAGUUGUCAAUUUGUGAAAUAAAAACUUGUAUUACAUAUUGUGAAUUUGAACCACAAAUUUCAAAAGAAUAUUUCCCUUAAUUACACUUUUUUUAUUUCAAAUCAAAUCAUUAAUAUGGUGCAAGAAGUUAGAGGAAAGGCCAAUAGAGGCCUGUUAAACUAUUUUAAAUUCUAAUGUUUGUUUAAUUCUUACAUUACACUUGUCUCCCUUGCAUGGGGUUGGGUACUAAUAUGAAGAGCAAUAUCUCAUUUGAAGACAUGGAGAACAAGUAUCUUAACAUAGGAUUUCUUUGUUAAAUGUUAGGCUAGAGUGUCUUUUUCUUUGGGAAGAGGUUCGUCGAGCAAUAUUUGGUGAUUUUAUUAUUCGAGAGUGGGACGGAAUUUUUAUUUUCUUUUUAAAUUUAGACUUCUUUAAAAUAAAAAAUUAUAAAUAGAACUUAGAGAAAUGCCAACCACAGAAAAGCUAAUUACAUAUCUAUUUGAAAUAAAGCCAUGGAGAUUCAAGAAUCAUUGGUAAUUUGAUAUUAGGGGUUGGCAUUUUAUUGGAUAUUCAGAUUUUAGAAAUUUGCUUAUCUUUUUAUUUUCUUCUGUCAAAGAGAAAUUUGCUUAUCUGGCCUUGGAUGGAAUCACAUGCCCCUGUGCUGUUGUUUGUGGACCAUCAUUGCUAUUUUAUUACCAAACUGAGUGCUUGGGUAGUGGGGAAGCAUCAGUAUGUAGAAAUUCAAUUGUUUUUUUUUUUUUGGUUAAGAUUAAAUGAUUAUUCAUGAUUAUUAAAAGUGUUACAAGGGCCAGUAAUGGACAACAGCACAUGGCAAAUCUCAAUUAUGGGGCCUGAACUUUUCAUGCUUUUCUUUUUUUAAUGAUCUUUUUUAUUGAGAUAAGCGAUAAUGUAUUAAAUUUACAUACUAUAUGAAUAAUGACUUGAACUUAGAACUUUACCUAAAUGAAUAAUUACUCGAAACCACUACACUACGAAUUAUUUGCACUCUAUAUGCCAUUUGUGUCAAGCCAACACCAUCAUAUAAAAUAAAUAAAUAAAAGAGGGGGUUUAAAUAAAAUAUGACAACAUAAGACGAAUGAACUGUUAAGGCACAACACAACCUCAAUGCAUGUCGUGAGCUGUUUGCACAUAGCCAAAAAAUAUGCUUUCAAAGCAUGUAGAAAUCAGAACCCAUUCCUGUGUAAAACAAACACUGGAAAGAAAAUAAGAGGAGAGAUUCAUAUAACAUUGGACUUGUUUUGUAGAAACUGUGGAUUGUUACAUGGCUGAGAGUUAAAAUACAUGCCCCAAUUAAUCAUGUAAAGUCAAUUUCCUUUCUAUUUUCUUGUCGUAAUUUGUGAUAAUUUGCAGAUUGUGAUCUGCAACUCAGUUUGGUAUGGUAAUUUUCACUAUAAUUUACAUAAUCGCGGUGCACAAAAAAGUGGAGAUAAAAAAAUAUUGGUGAAAAUUACAUGGGACCUAAAUGUGCGCUCAAUAUUUUAUAGGAUGUGGAAAUCCCAUUUUAAUUUUGCCUAAUUAAGUAGUUCUCUGCGUUAAUCCUCCAUCAUUUUACACUAUCCACAAUUAGACAUAUAAAAGAGAACGAAAAAAAAAUAUGAUAGUGAUUUUCAUGCUCUUAUUUUGUCCGUUUGCACUCUUUUUCGUUUUUAUGUCUUAAUAAUCUUUUUGUUUACAUAAUUUUCAAAGCAUAAAAAUAAAAAGGAGGAGUUCAAAUGGAUAAAAUGGAAGUGUGAAAAGGCUACACAAGAUGUCUCAAAUAUGUGAGGAUGUGGUCUAGUAUGCCGUGUGCGUUAAUCCACAGCCAUUGAUAAUUUGAUACAAAGGAAUUCAGGUGAGAAACAAAGUGACUUCGCAGCCACGCACUCAUCCACAAAAGCACAGGGUGUUGCCAUCAGAAUGGGGAUAAUUUUCUCCUAUAAAAAGAUCUGUUUAUCAAAAUACUACAAGCAAGCAGUAACAAGAAAAAUAUUACAGCUACUAGCUAAGCAUACAUUAUUCUAGUGUAUAAUGGCACCAAAGUUAGCAAUUUCCGUAGCAUUUCUCAUUUCAGUAAGCCUAGCAGUACAAUUUGGAGCUGAUGCUGCAGGCAUUGCCAUCUACUGGGGUCAAAAUGGGAAUGAAGGUACCUUGGAGGAAACUUGUGCCACAGGCAACUAUGAAUUUGUAAACCUAGCUUUUCUUCCAACCUUUGGCAAUGGCCAGACCCCCAUGAUCAACCUAGCUGGACACUGUGAUCCCUACACUAAUGGCUGCACUGGCUUGAGCUCUGACAUUAAAUCAUGCCAAGCAAAAGGGGUCAAGGUCAUUCUUUCAAUUGGAGGAGGAGCAGGGAGCUACUACCUCACAUCUAAAGAGGAUGCUAGGCAAGUUGCUACUUACUUAUGGAACAAUUUCUUGGGGGGAAGCUCUUCAUCUCGCCCGCUCGGUGACGCUGUUUUGGAUGGAAUUGAUUUCGACAUUGAAGGAGGAACAAACCUACAUUGGGAUGACCUUGCAAGGUACCUCUCUGCAUAUAGUAAACAAGGUAAGAAAGUUUAUUUAACUGCAGCUCCUCAGUGCCCUUUUCCAGAUGCUUGGGUUGGGGGUGCCCUCAAGACAGGCCUUUUUGACAAUGUUUGGGUCCAAUUCUACAACAACCCACCUUGCCAAUACUCCUCUGGGGAUCUUAGCAACCUUGAAAAUGCAUGGAAGCAGUGGAUUUCAGAUAUUCCAGCUACCAAGAUAUUCCUAGGACUACCAGCUGCCCCUGCAGCUGCUGGAAGUGGCUUCAUUCCUGUGGCUGAUCUCACUUCUAAAGUGCUUCCAGCAAUUAAAGGUUCUCCCAAGUAUGGAGGGGUCAUGCUGUGGUCCAAGUAUUAUGAUGAUCAAACUAAAUAUAGCUCUUCCAUCAAGAGCAGUGUCUAAAUUAAAUUCUGAAUCAGAGACAAUUUUAGUUGUCUAUGAUGUUUGUGUAAUUCUUACAUAUAUCAGUAUUAUGCAUAAAUACAUAUAGAAACAUUGUGUGUUCUUGAUACUUAUUUUCUUCUUUUUCUUAACUAAACUUUGCAAGAGGCUUAUAGCUCGAGUGGUUGAGAGCAUUUACUUCUACACCCAAGACCCGGACUUCAAUUCCGUCUACCCAUUAUAUUUUGUAUAAAAAAAACACUAGACUCCAUAUAUAGAAGUCCAAAUUACAGCCAUUGAUAUAAAUUGGAAAAGCUUUCCAAAGUCCAGGAAUGUUGAAAUCUUACAUAUGAUACCAUGCCACAAUAAUUAUUAUUGACUUUUGAAAAGGUUGAUGGUUGCCAAUACAAAGAGAUUCAAAUGUUUACUAAAUCUUGCACACACAACCAAGAAAUAAUCAAAUUGUUAUCCCUAUUUGUAAUUUCUUGGUAUUGAGCAUAAUUCAAAAGGGGAGUAAAUUUGGCAUCCGAGCCAUUCGAAGCUGUUUUUGUUACAAGUUUUUUUUAUUAGGACGAACCAAAAUUUACAUAGCUGUGUCGAAGCUUUGAUUCAAAAUAGAGCACUGGAAAGCGACAUUUUGUCAGACAUUUGAGCACAAUCACGAAACCAACCAACAUUGUUGGUUUGUCCUUCAGUCAGAUCAGAUGGAAAUUUCUCCGCUAAGGCCAUUGCCAACCAUGAGAGGUAAAACGAAAGAGCAUGAAAGCGAAAGAUGGCCUGCAUAAAUUGUGGCCUACAAUGAAUAAAUUCUAGUACAAUACGACCAACUUUUCCCUUUUUCUUUUUUUAAAUUAAGGAGAUUUACUAUUAUAUCUAAUAUAGGAGUCUAAACAUUUACAACAUAACAAAUAGACUUUUAACUUUUUAUAAAUUACAAAACUGCCAUCGAUUUCUUAAAACAAACUCAAUCUCAAAACCUCAUAAAAAAACUCAAAAAACUCAAUAGGACAUCAAAAUAAUUUAAUAAUCAAAAUUAAAUUUUAUUGGGUCAGUUGUAAUUUUUUAGAUUUUUUUAAAUUUGUUUAUAAAAAUUAAAUGAUUUAGAAUUUAUCUUUAUCAUUAAUACUAAAAAUUGAUAUAUAACUAAAUAUCUUUUUAAAUUAAUGUAAAGCAUUAAGAAAAGGAAAUUGAACUUGGAAUCUUUCCUGGAAGAGAGGUUUUAGUUCUAAUUACUAAUUAGCCCCUGGGAAAUAGGCAACCUUGCUGUCUGCUGAGGCAAUGCCUGCACCAAAAUUCAUGGUACAUUUGUCCUUGUCUACAUUAUUUUGGAGGGACCCGAGGUGUCGCAUCUGGGGUGGGGAGAUGCACUCUGAGAGAGCUUGAGGGGGCCGUAAAACUUAUAUCAAAUGGAAUGUUAUACCAUCUGAAAAAAUUAUAACGCGUAACAUGGAGUGAUUGGCUGAGAAUAACAUGGAGUGUUAUCUCAUCGCACAUUGACUAAUUCACUUAUCCCAAAUUUCAUUUUGUUGUCCUUUUGCCUCUGUUCAUACAGUUUAUGGUUGACUGGGGACUAGAGACUGGAGAUAUGAAUAUUCAGUAGCCAUAUAUACUAGUGAAAGGAAAAGAAUUGGACAAGAAAACACAUAAAUAUAAAUUGGGAAUGAAUUUGCCUUUCAUCAAACUAGUAUCUGUAAUAUUAGAAAAGGCCUACCAAAUCAACAAACACAGAGUCGCAUGGAGACACACAUCUCUAUAUAAUCUGUAUUAAAAUGAAAAACAUAAAACUGCAAAUCAACCAAAAGUUAAUACCUUUGUUAUACUGCAAGUUUAGACACAGAAAACAUACAGAAAUAAUAUAUUCCAGAAGAGAAAUGCCAAAGGAAAAAAUAUAUGAAAUCUCAAUUGACAAAACCCAGCUGAUAGAUUAAUUAUCUUCAUCCUAGAUCCCCCAAAGUUGUAUUGUAUAAUAAGAGAAAGGCAAUGACUGUGGGUGGGGCAGUUAAUAUAUUUGACAAGCCUCAGAAAAUCUCAGCCAUGGGUAUUCAGAGCUUCCCAGACUAAGUUCUUUGGGACAGGAUUGGACAGGUCCCUGGCCUGCAGGGCAGCAGUCCUUAGAGUCCUAAUGGUGGACAUAUUGGCCUCCCAGAAGGACAAGCUCCUGUAAGGCAAAUUGUGCUUCUUGCAUAGGUCCUUAACAGUAGGAGCAAUCGUCCUCAGCUGGCAACGAGGCAACCUGGGAAACAAAUGGUGCUCAAGCUGAAAUUGCAGGCCACCAAAGAACCAAUCCAUCCUAGUUGAGCAAGAAAUAUCCAAAGUCCCUGCUGCUUGCUUCUC